CCUACGGGUGGCAACAGUGAGGAAUAUUGGUCAAUGGACGAGAGUCUGAACCAGCCAAGUAGCGUGAAGGAUGACUGCCCUAUGGGUUGUAAACUUCUUUUAUAUGGGAAUACAAUGUUUCACGUGUGGGAUUUUGUAUUUACCAUAUGAAUAAGGAUCGCCUAAUUCCGGGCCAGCAGCCGCGGUAAUACGGAGGUUCCGAGCGUUAUCCGGAUUUAUUGGGUUUAAAGGGAGCGUAGGUGGAUUGUUAAGUCAGCUGUGAAAGUUUGCGGUUCAACCGUAAAAUUGAAGUUGAAAAUGGCGGUCUUGAGUACAGUAGAGGUGGGCGGAAUUCGUGGUGUAGCGGUGAAAUGCUUAGAUAUCACGAAGAACUCCGAUUGCGAAGGCAGCUCACUGGACUGCAACUGACACUGAGGCUCGAAAGUGUGGGUAUCAAACAGGAUUAGAUACCCGUGUAGUC
Molecule: ribosomal RNA, 460 nt
Filed under: uncultured bacterium
Lineage: Bacteria
Description: partial 16S ribosomal RNA
Rfam family: Bacterial small subunit ribosomal RNA
Source: RNAcentral